GAUGAAGAACGUAGCGAAAUGCGAUGAGUAGUGUGAAUUGCAGAAUUCAGUGAAUCAUCGAAUCUUUGAACGCACAUUGCGCCCCUUGGUAUCCCGAGGGGCAUGCCUGUUCGAGCGUCAUUUCACCACUCAAGCCUGGCUUGGUGUUGGGCGACGUCCUCUUUGGGGACGCGCCUCGAAACGCUCGGCGGCGUGGCACCGGCUUUAAGCGUAGCAGAAUCUUUCGCUUUGGAAGUCGGGGCCCCGUCUGCCGGAAGACCUGCUCGCAAGGUUGACCUCGGAUCAGGCAGGGAUACCCGCUGAACUUAAGCAUAUCAAUAAGCGGAGGA
This 329-nucleotide unclassified non-coding RNA is filed under the name soil metagenome. RNAcentral describes it as "partial contains 5.8S ribosomal RNA, internal transcribed spacer 2, and large subunit ribosomal RNA". The stretch from base 1 to 120 matches the Rfam family "5.8S ribosomal RNA", at positions 35 to 154 of the family's 154-position model. The record is from RNAcentral.